GCUUAUGGCCACACCGCCUGGUUCACGUCCGAUCUCGUUUGAUCUCGGAAGCUAAAAUAGGUUGGGCCUGGUUAGUACUUGCAUGGGAGAUGCCUGGGAAUACCAGGUGCUGUAAGCU
RNAcentral lists this ribosomal RNA (118 nucleotides) under Scophthalmus maximus (turbot). Lineage: Eukaryota; Metazoa; Chordata; Actinopteri; Pleuronectiformes; Scophthalmidae. The record is from RNAcentral.